GCGUAUAUUAAAGUUGUUGCAGUUAAAAAGCUCGUAGUCGGAUUUCGGGUCGGGCCGAGCGGUCUGCCGAUGGGUAUGCACUGUUCGGCGCGGCCUUCUUUCCGGAGACCGCGGCUACUCUUAACUGAGCGGGCGUGGGAGACGGAUCGUUUACUUUGAAAAAAUCAGAGUGUUUCAAGCAGGCAGCUCGCUCUUGCAUGGAUUAGCAUGGGAUAAUGAAAUAGGACUCUGGUGCUAUUUUGUUGGUUUCGAACACCGGAGUAAUGAUUAACAGGGACAGUCAGGGGCACUCGUAUUCCGUCGAGAGAGGUGAAAUUCUCAGACCAAUGGAAGACGAACCACUGCGAAAGCAUUUGCCAGGGAUGUUUUCACUGA
RNAcentral lists this ribosomal RNA (375 nucleotides) under Phaeocystis cordata. Its description in RNAcentral is "partial small subunit ribosomal RNA". It matches the Rfam family "Eukaryotic small subunit ribosomal RNA", at positions 597 to 976 of the family's 1831-position model. Lineage: Eukaryota; Haptophyta; Phaeocystales; Phaeocystaceae. The record is from RNAcentral. RNAcentral also lists the same sequence under 1 other name.